GGAUGUGAGGGCUCUCUGACUGUGACAUCUGUCACCUCAUUGGUUGCCAGACCAGGUUUGAUUCGCUGAUCUGGCUAGGAGGGUGUCCCCUUUCUCCCUCAAUACUUCAUUUGUGACCCUCCAGAAGCUGCAUGCGUGGUGGAAGAGGAUAACCACCCUUAGUAGAGGAGGACCAUUUCCUCAGUCAAGGGUAUAUGAGUAGCCGCACUCCCUUGCUAGAACCUCCAAAGAAAUUCUCAAAAGUUCUGGAAAGAACAUUACAACAUCCUUUCCUGUGUGGAGUUAAUUGAGAAAUCCUGGGCCAAUGUUUCUCUAA
Molecule: small nuclear RNA, 316 nt
Filed under: Heterocephalus glaber (naked mole-rat)
Lineage: Eukaryota; Metazoa; Chordata; Mammalia; Rodentia; Bathyergidae
Description: 7SK RNA
Rfam family: 7SK RNA
About the family: 7SK was discovered as an abundant small nuclear RNA in the mid-70s but a possible function has only recently been suggested. Two independent studies have found that 7SK RNA binds the CDK9/cyclin T complex (known as elongation factor P-TEFb).
Source: Rfam by way of RNAcentral